UACGUAGGGUGCGAGCGUUUGUCCGGAAUUAUUGGGCGUAAAGAGCUCGUAGGCGGCUUGUUGCGUCGGGAGUGAAAACACUGGGCUUAACUCAGUGCUUGCUUUCGAUACGGGCAGACUAGAGGUAUGCAGGGGAGAACGGAAUUCCUGGUGUAGCGGUUGAAAAUGCGCAGAUAUCAGGAGGAACACCGGGUGGCGAAGGCGGGUCUCUGGGCCGAUACUGACGCUGAGGAGCGAAAGCGUGGGGAGCGAACAGG
RNAcentral lists this ribosomal RNA (257 nucleotides) under uncultured bacterium. RNAcentral describes it as "partial 16S ribosomal RNA". It matches the Rfam family "Bacterial small subunit ribosomal RNA", at positions 524 to 776 of the family's 1533-position model. The record is from RNAcentral.